CAGAAACCUAAUAAGGAAAUGGUCCACGGCCGUCUUUGCUUUCUAAUCGCCUUCGGAGAAACAGGUUCCAAGGUUCCAAGUAGGGAGACUGAAAGUGAAGGUCAAGCUCAACAAACAGGACCUCCUAAUCCUGCCAUGUUGCCAGACCCAGUGAAGAGAGCCAAACUUGG
This is a long non-coding RNA of Ziziphus jujuba (common jujube), 170 nucleotides long. RefSeq lists it as uncharacterized. Lineage: Eukaryota; Viridiplantae; Streptophyta; Magnoliopsida; Rosales; Rhamnaceae. The record is from RefSeq and is a predicted model, not a curated record. The transcript is spliced from 2 exons.